UACGUAGGGGGCAAGCGUUGUCCGGAAUCAUUGGGCGUAAAGAGCGUGUAGGCGGUCCGAUAAGUCCGCUCUGAAAGCCCGGGGCUCAACCCCGGGAGGCGGGCGGAUACUGUCGGGCUAGAGUCCGGAAGAGGCAAGUGGAAUUCCUGGUGUAGCGGUGAAAUGCGCAGAUAUCAGGAGGAACACCAAUGGCGAAGGCAGCACUCUGGGACGUGACUGACGCUGAGACGCGAAAGCGUGGGGAGCAAACAGG
This 253-nucleotide ribosomal RNA is filed under the name uncultured bacterium. Its description in RNAcentral is "partial 16S ribosomal RNA". It matches the Rfam family "Bacterial small subunit ribosomal RNA", at positions 524 to 776 of the family's 1533-position model. The record is from RNAcentral.